CCCAAUCACAUAGUCGGCACCUCCCCCACAUCUCCUCCCCCUAGAUUAACAGUUAAACUUAUUAACAAGUACACACUUUUCCCCAAUUCUUGGAUGUACCCCAAAUACAGGGGGUACACCUUUACAUGAGGGAUCCCCUAGUAUCCCUGAUCUGGGUGAGCAACAUACUCAAAAAUCACCCAGAUCGGACCAGGGGUUCGGGAGUUAUGGCAGGGAAAAGAUUUGACCGACCGCACGGGCACAGUAGCCGAAAAUAGUUCCAUGAAUUCUGGCCCUGCGGUCGGUCUCCAUUCGCAUAUAAAAAGUCCCAAAGGUCCUUGGCAUCCAGGCUUGACUUGGUAUUCGGAUGAAUCCCCUAGUUCGCGGGAUUCAACAUACCGAAUGCUGGGCGGUUUGUGUGGUUUAUUCGUCACUUUCCGGAGUGCUGGAGGUCUUAGCAGUGCUUGGUUAUCGAAUGCCCAAUUUGGGUUCCAGGCAUUCGACGACCAAACACCACUGUUCGUGCGUAAGAUGGCCGCCGCCACGUGUUCGGCAGGCAAAUGGCGGCCGCACACGAACCUCAAUUACCAGCCUUUGCAACAUUGUUGCCUUCGGUAAUGAGGGACACACGACCACACCUGGGUGGUCCCUCAUUUGGUAUUUUACAUGCUUUCGUGGCUAAUACAGUAUAUGUAGUUCGUGAACCGAUUUACUGGCGACUACUGCCUUAAUAGUCAUACGGCCAUUUUAAUCCAAGCUUAUUCGAAUUUCGAAAGUCCCUUUUCAGUCUCUUAGUGGCAAGGUUUGCCACACCCCCCUCCACUUACUUCUUCCUCUUACUUCAAAAGACAUAUGGGGCCCGUGCAUAAUCGCAGGGGAAUGGAUGGGGCAUGUUCUAUUGAAAAAAGAAAUGUUUGUUUGGCGGUCUUAGCCCUGUUAUGUUUUUUAUAUUUUUCGUGUAAAACAAAAAUCAACCAGAGAGGACAGAGAUACAGUGCUGUAAUGUAUGAUAGAUACACUUCAUGUUACUAUGUUGCAGUAAGG
This is a non-coding RNA of Pelobates cultripes (western spadefoot toad), 1023 nucleotides long. The record is from the annotation of a GenBank genome assembly. Lineage: Eukaryota; Metazoa; Chordata; Amphibia; Anura; Pelobatidae.